GUGAGGAAUUUUCCGCAAUGGGCGAAAGCCUGACGGAGCAAUGCCGCGUGAAGGAUGAAGGCCUAUGGGUUGUAAACUUCUUUUCUCAGAAAAGAAUUAUGACGGUAUCUGAGGAAUAAGCAUCGGCUAACUCUGUGUCAGCAGCCGCGGUAAGACAGAGGAUGCAAGCGUUAUCCGGAAUGAUUGGGCGUAAAGCGUCUGUAGGUUGUUUAAAAAGUAUUCUGUCAAAGAUUAGGGCUUAACCCUAGAUAGGCAGAAUAAACUUUUAAGCUAGAGUUUGGUAGAGGCAGAGGGAAUUCCCGGUGGAGCGGUGAAAUGCGUAGAUAUCGGGAGGAACACCAAAGGCGAAGGCACUCUGCUGGGCCAAUACUAACACUGAGAGACGAAAGCGAGGGGAGCAAAUGGGAUUAGAAACCCGGGUAGUCC
This 426-nucleotide ribosomal RNA is filed under the name uncultured bacterium. RNAcentral describes it as "partial 16S ribosomal RNA". It matches the Rfam family "Bacterial small subunit ribosomal RNA", at positions 354 to 796 of the family's 1533-position model. The record is from RNAcentral.